GGAGAGACCACCCAGAGACAUGAGGGUCCAACUUCAGGUCACCCGACUAAUCCUGGGAAAAGUCUCCAGGCUCUAACCCGGCACGGCCUCAGCCCUAGGCCACCUGCCCAAUGCCACCAUCUGUGGAUACCUUCAGCUGCCAUGCUCGCCACUCCAUUCCAGGCCCAGUUGGCACCCCUGACAUUCUUCUGCUUGCCAUGCAGAUGCUGGCUCCUGUAGACGCUGCCUGGCUCCGCUGCUUCUGUGUUAGCCUCCACUCAGUGACUUCCGAGGAAGCAGGAGAAACUUUGUUAAAUCAAGAAAAUAUUUUUAUUUAUUUUUUUCUUCUUGUUUAAAGUCUGAGUCUGAACUUAGAAAACCCGGGGUGAGAACUUAUUUCCAGCAGAUUCUAUUUCUUGGUGCCACUUCAUCUAUUAAUAGUUUCUGGCUUUUCCAUUCUCCCCACAGCUGUGCUUUCUAAAUUCUGAUACCCUCGCUGAUCUUCAGCAAUGUGGCGGCUGUGGCUCUCUGAUUAGACAUGUGGUCUAAUGUGCUGCUCUCAUCAGACUGGUCGCCACCUGGAUAACGAUCCAGAUGUUUAUCACCAUAGAGCAAGUCGGCUCACAGAGCGCUUUGGGUGCACUGUUCUGUUAAUCCUCAAAAUACCCUCACAAGACAGUAUGGCAUCACAGUCCUUCAUCAGGCACCUGUUAUCAUUAGCGCAAGGUGAAAGCUCAGCAUAGAGGCUGAGCGAGCUUGUAAGCUUGUCCCUCAGAGACUACGGGCUUCUCUUGAGACCAUGUUUAACAUGUGCUCUCUCCAGAAGACCAGCUUAUGCCCUACCACACCCUGUCCUGUCUAGCUGUCCUGUCACACCCUCUACACUUUUGUAAUUCUUGUCAUAUUCUGUGUCUUCUUCACAGUCUCCUCUGGUCUACAAACCCUUGUUCAGCUGUGGUAACAAAUGCUGAUUAUUUCCUUCCAAUUAAUUUCUCAGUGUUAACAAACUUUAUCUAUAAUCAGGCCUUCACAAUAAAUCUAAUAUUAUUGCUACUCUUUUUCAGUUUCCCCAGUUUGUUCUAAUACAGCCUUCUAAGUUUUUUCUCCCCUCAAAUUUGACACUAUUUUUAAACAUCAUGUAGUCGACAAGGAUAUAUUUCCUUUUCCAUGUGUACGAUGGAUACAGCUCUGUCGUAAAGUUCAACAGGUGAAAAUACCAUUCCAGUUGGGAGGAUGAAGACAGAAACAACCUAAAAGAGACCUGGGAUUCCAUGCACCAACAGAAGAGGAAGGGCCAGAGGGAUAGAAAAGUGCUGAACAUUCAGAUGGGCACCGGCUCCUUUGUAGACUUUGAACUGCUGACAUGAUAGGUAGAGUAUUUAGGUACUACGUUUAGGAGAGCAUCGUUGUUCAGAACCAGUCACCUGAUGACUCUGGAAAUGAUGUGUGUUACUCUGUAAGA
Meriones unguiculatus (Mongolian gerbil) is the source of this 1441-nucleotide long non-coding RNA. RefSeq lists it as uncharacterized. The transcript is spliced from 4 exons. NCBI's taxonomy places the organism in Eukaryota, Metazoa, Chordata, Mammalia, Rodentia, Muridae. The record is from RefSeq and is a predicted model, not a curated record.